This 900-nucleotide ribosomal RNA is filed under the name Brachybacterium sp. PVC(72hr)4. Its description in RNAcentral is "bacterial SSU rRNA". It matches the Rfam family "Bacterial small subunit ribosomal RNA", at positions 146 to 1059 of the family's 1533-position model. Lineage: Bacteria; Bacillati; Actinomycetota; Actinomycetes; Micrococcales; Dermabacteraceae. The record is from RNAcentral.
ACCUCGGGAAAUCGAGGCUAAUACCGGAUAUGAGCACUCAUCGCAUGGUGGGUGUUGGAAAGAUUUAUCGGUGGGGGAUGGGCUCGCGGCCUAUCAGUUUGUUGGUGAGGUGAUGGCUUACCAAGACGAUGACGGGUAGCCGGCCUGAGAGGGCGACCGGCCACACUGGGACUGAGACACGGCCCAGACUCCUACGGGAGGCAGCAGUGGGGAAUAUUGCACAAUGGGCGAAAGCCUGAUGCAGCGACGCCGCGUGGGGGAUGACGGCCUUCGGGUUGUAAACCCCUUUCAGCAGGGAAGAAGCGAGAGUGACGGUACCUGCAGAAGAAGCGCCGGCUAACUACGUGCCAGCAGCCGCGGUAAUACGUAGGGCGCAAGCGUUGUCCGGAAUUAUUGGGCGUAAAGAGCUUGUAGGUGGCUUGUCGCGUCUGCCGUGAAAACCCGAGGCUCAACCUCGGGCGUGCGGUGGGUACGGGCAGGCUAGAGUGUGGUAGGGGAGACUGGAACUCCUGGUGUAGCGGUGAAAUGCGCAGAUAUCAGGAAGAACACCGAUGGCGAAGGCAGGUCUCUGGGCCAUUACUGACACUGAGAAGCGAAAGCAUGGGUAGCGAACAGGAUUAGAUACCCUGGUAGUCCAUGCCGUAAACGUUGGGCACUAGGUGUGGGGGGCAUUCCACGUUUUCCGCGCCGUAGCUAACGCAUUAAGUGCCCCCCCCUGGGGAGUACNGCCGCAAGGCUAAAACUCAAAGGAAUUGACGGGGGCCCGCACAAGCGGCGGAGCAUGCUGAUUAAUUCGAUGCANCGCGAAGAACCUUACCAAGGCUUGACAUGCCCUGGACGGCUGCAGAAGAUGUGGCUUUCUUUGGACUGGUGCACAGGUGGUGCAUGGUUGUCGUCAGC